This 408-nucleotide long non-coding RNA is filed under the name Triticum aestivum (bread wheat). RNAcentral describes it as "long non-coding RNA (TAES_LNC004155)". The record is from RNAcentral. Lineage: Eukaryota; Viridiplantae; Streptophyta; Magnoliopsida; Poales; Poaceae.
GCGGGUCAGAGCGCAUCUACACGUACGCCCGGCCUCCUCUUCAACUGACGCGAGUAUAACUAGCCACCCAUAGCGUGGACGCGGAAACUUUCCAAGGUGCGCAACGGCCUCUGCCCCGAUCCCGGAGCAGAGCAACAGAUAGAACCCUUCCUUCCUCUCGCGAGAUCGACCGACGCCGGUAAGAUGCUGCCGUACGCGACGGCCGGCGAGGCGGAGGCGGCGCUCGGCCGCGCCCUGACGUGGGCGGAGGCCGCGUGGCUCCGCUACUCGGCGUCGGUGCCGGACCGCUACCUCCACUGGCCCAACAUCGCCAUCACAUUGGUCGUCUACACGCUGGCGCCGCUGCCCCUCGCCCUCUUCGACCUCGCCGCGCCGGCCGCCGCCGCACCGUACAAGCUGCAGCCCAAG